UACGUAGGGUGCAGGCGUUAAUCGGAAUUACUGGGCGUAAAGCGUGCGCAGGCGGUCUUUUAAGUCAGAUGUGAAAUCCCCGGGCUUAACCUGGGAACUGCGUUUGAAACUGAAAGGCUAGAGUGUGGCAGAGGGGGGUGGAAUUCCACGUGUAGCAGGUGAAAUGCGUAGAGAUGUGGAGGAACACCGAUGGCGAAGGCAGCCCCCUGGGCUAACACUGACGCUCAUGCACGAAAGCGUGGGGAGCAAACAGG
RNAcentral lists this ribosomal RNA (254 nucleotides) under uncultured bacterium. RNAcentral's name for it is "partial 16S ribosomal RNA". It matches the Rfam family "Bacterial small subunit ribosomal RNA", at positions 524 to 776 of the family's 1533-position model. The record is from RNAcentral.